This 21-nucleotide non-coding RNA is filed under the name Caenorhabditis elegans. Lineage: Eukaryota; Metazoa; Nematoda; Chromadorea; Rhabditida; Rhabditidae. The record is from RNAcentral.
CAAAUUUUGAAGAACUUUUGC